This 74-nucleotide transfer RNA is filed under the name Allostella humosa. RNAcentral describes it as "Stella humosa tRNA-Gln". It matches the Rfam family "tRNA". From Rfam's summary of the family: Transfer RNA (tRNA) molecules are approximately 80 nucleotides in length. Their secondary structure includes four short double-helical elements and three loops (D, anti-codon, and T loops). Further hydrogen bonds mediate the characteristic L-shaped molecular structure. tRNAs have two regions of fundamental functional importance: the anti-codon, which is responsible for specific mRNA codon recognition, and the 3' end, to which the tRNAs corresponding amino acid is attached (by aminoacyl-tRNA synthetases). tRNAs cope with the degeneracy of the genetic code in two manners: having more than one tRNA (with a specific anti-codon) for a particular amino acid; and 'wobble' base-pairing, i.e. permitting non-standard base-pairing at the 3rd anti-codon position. The record is from RNAcentral. Lineage: Bacteria; Pseudomonadati; Pseudomonadota; Alphaproteobacteria; Rhodospirillales; Allostellaceae. RNAcentral also lists the same sequence under 97 other names.
UGGGGGAUCGUCUAACGGUAGGACAGCGGACUCUGACUCCGCCAGUCUAGGUUCGAAUCCUAGUCCCCCAGCCA